AAUCAACGCUGGCGGCGUGCCUCAGACAUGCAAGUCGAACGAUUAAAGCUCUCUUCGGAGAGUGCAUAAAGUGGCGCACGGGUGAGUAACACGUAAGUAAUCUACCUUCGAGUGGGGAAUAACGUCCGGAAACGGACGCUAAUACCGCAUAAUGCAGCGGCAUCGCAAGAUGACAGUUGUUAAAGGAGCAAUUCGCUUGAAGAGGAGCUUGCGGCAGAUUAGCUAGUUGGUAAGGUAACGGCUUACCAAGGCUACGAUCUGUAACCGGUCUAAGAGGACGGUCGGUCACACUGACACUGAAUAACGGGUCAGACUCCUACGGGAGGCAGCAGUCGGGAAUUUUGGGCAAUGGGCGAAAGCCUGACCCAGCAACGCCGCGUGAAGGAUGAAGUAUUUCGGUAUGUAAACUUCGAAAGAAUAGGAAGAAUAAAUGACGUUACUAUUUAUAAGGUCCGGCUAACUACGUGCCAGCCGCCGCUGU
Molecule: ribosomal RNA, 481 nt
Filed under: uncultured bacterium
Lineage: Bacteria
Description: bacterial SSU rRNA
Rfam family: Bacterial small subunit ribosomal RNA
Source: RNAcentral